AAUGUGUGUGAUAGAUUUGCUUGAUUAAAGGGAAAAAAAAAAAAAGAAUAGUGCUAAAGAAGGACAAAACCCCCAUGGAUAAGAAGGGCUGAGUACUCAA
Molecule: small nucleolar RNA, 100 nt
Organism: Homo sapiens (human)
Lineage: Eukaryota; Metazoa; Chordata; Mammalia; Primates; Hominidae
Source: RefSeq, marked validated